CCUGCACCUGGGCAUUUCCUGCCCCGGCCUCACGCUCAGAGCUCAGCCCAGGUCCUUGGGGUUUCCUGUUUUGCUCUCAGAGCUUUCAUUUCACCCACAAAUCACUUCCCCUUCUGAGGCUCCUUGUGGCUGAUCCCCUCCAUUUCUGCUCCAGGCCUGGAGCCUCUUCCUUGCCCCUUCCUGGCUCCUUGUGUGCAGCCAGCCAGGAUUAUCCCUGUCAUUCCUCCAACGGGACCUCCUCAGCAGCUGGAAUUCAAACCAGGCUUUCCCUGGCACCAGCAGAUGCUGCCACUGCAAAUCCAGCCCUGCUAAAUCUCCAGCUGCCUUGGCCAAAACAUCAUGAAUAUUCAUGAGGCCAGCCUGGACUUUGAGCUUUGACUUGGAGAAGGUUUACAAGUGGACUUCCAGCAGCUUGGAGGAGAAGAAAAACCUUCCUCAGGUGCUUGUGGAAGCUGACCCAGCACUGUCCCCUUCGUGAACAUCCCCUCGGGUGCCCUGGAAGGCAAUUAAUGAGUGAAUUAAUGAAUUAACAGCCUUGUCACACUUGGAGCCCUCUGA
This 558-nucleotide long non-coding RNA is filed under the name Parus major (Great Tit). Its description in RNAcentral is "lncRNA (ENSPMJG00000012289.1)". Lineage: Eukaryota; Metazoa; Chordata; Aves; Passeriformes; Paridae. The record is from RNAcentral.